GAUGAACGCUGGCGGCGUGCCUAAUACAUGCAAGUAGAACGCUGAAGGAGGAGCUUGCUCUUCUGGAUGAGUUGCGAACGGGUGAGUAACGCGUAGGUAACCUGCCUGGUAGCGGGGGAUAACUAUUGGAAACGAUAGCUAAUACCGCAUGACAACAGUUAUUGCAUGAUAACUGUUUAAAAGGGGCAACUGCUCCACUACCAGAUGGACCUGCGUUGUAUUAGCUAGUUGGUGAGGUAACGGCUCACCAAGGCGACGAUACAUAGCCGACCUGAGAGGGUGAUCGGCCACACUGGGACUGAGACACGGCACAGACUCCUACGGGAGGCAGCAGUAGGGAAUCUUCGGCAAUGGACGGAAGUCUGACCGAGCAACGCCGCGUGAGUGAAGAAGGUUGUCGGAUCGUAAAGCUCUGUUGUAAGAGAAGAACGAGUGUGAGAGUGGAAAGUUCACACUGUGACGGUAUCUUACCAGAAAGGGACGGCUAACUACGUG
RNAcentral lists this ribosomal RNA (495 nucleotides) under uncultured bacterium. RNAcentral describes it as "partial 16S ribosomal RNA". It matches the Rfam family "Bacterial small subunit ribosomal RNA", at positions 28 to 507 of the family's 1533-position model. The record is from RNAcentral.